This 283-nucleotide unclassified non-coding RNA is filed under the name Hevea brasiliensis (rubber tree). Lineage: Eukaryota; Viridiplantae; Streptophyta; Magnoliopsida; Malpighiales; Euphorbiaceae. The record is from RNAcentral.
UCACCCCAACACCAACAACAACACCCCCCAUCCCCACACCACAACCCAAUCCCCCACUCCCCCUACCCCCAACACCAAUCUCUUGGUAAUGCCUUCAUUUUUAAUGCUCAAGUAUCUUGUACUUUUAAACCAAAUUUAGACUGCAUUUUUUUUCUUACUGUUAGCAUCAAAUUUAAAGAUAUGGCAACUUCUUGAUUAGAGAAUUGGGGGAUGGUUAGUAACUUAAUGUAUGGCCAUCAUUUGUUAUUAUGUAUUUUGGCAUAUUGUCAUGACUUUGAGCACC